AUUGAACGCUGGCGGCAGGCCUAACACAUGCAAGUCGAGCGGAUGAAGGGAGCUUGCUCCUGGAUUCAGCGGCGGACGGGUGAGUAAUGCCUAGGAAUCUGCCUGGUAGUGGGGGAUAACGUCCGGAAACGGGCGCUAAUACCGCAUACGUCCUGAGGGAGAAAGUGGGGGAUCUUCGGACCUCACGCCAUCAGAUGAGCCUAGGUCGGAUUAGCUAGUUGGUGGGGUAAAGGCCUACCAAGGCGACGAUCCGUAACUGGCCUGAGAGGAUGAUCAGUCACACUGGAACUGAGACACGGUCCAGACUCCUACGGGAGGCAGCAGUGGGGAAUAUUGGACAAUGGGCGAAAGCCUGAUCCAGCCAUGCCGCGUGUGUGAAGAAGGUCUUCGGAUUGUAAAGCACUUUAAGUUGGGAGGAAGGGCAGUAAGUUAAUACCUUGCUGUUUUGACGUUACCAACAGAAUAAGCACCGGCUAACUUCGUG
Molecule: ribosomal RNA, 484 nt
Filed under: uncultured bacterium
Lineage: Bacteria
Description: partial 16S ribosomal RNA
Rfam family: Bacterial small subunit ribosomal RNA
Source: RNAcentral